UUAAGUUAACUUGCAUAGGUGCUGUUUCCUUGAGGUUUUAUAGUGAUGACUGUUCCUAACUGAUCUAUUUCUGUGAAAAUGUACUCUGUGGACUAGUAAUGAAGAUAAACGAGAAACCAAUGCAGUGGAAUAUAUACUUGAAAAUCUAUGAUCAUAUUUAGUUAGUGCACACUGCAUAAGAUCAACGGUAUGGCGAACUCCUUCGUCAAUUAUUUUCUUUUUGCAAACAGUGUAGAGAUAAAAAUCCCAGACUACUUUCACAACUUCACCGGCGCUCCAGGGCAUAUUGGCUAGGCGACAAUCAUUGCGAUGCAGGGACGGCCCCUGUACUGCCACCAGAGCACUGCCCAUCGAGGAUCGCUGAUCAUCGCACCAGACUCGACAGUGUCUUGUGAAGCACACCGCAAUGGCUUUAACAUAAGAACGUGGAAUGGAAUUCACACUACGCACUUCGUCGCGUCUUGAGUGGGGAGCUACAAAAAAAAAGUUGCAUCACCAACAUAUCAUGAUCACCAGUAACACGGCUCGGUUAUGCUAAUAGUUAAUGUGGUUGAGGUCGGCCUAAAAGAAAAACUCGUGGCGAAAAAGCGUAACCUGUUUGAUCUGAUGUUGCUUACGUUUGCCGGUUUACAGUAGUUUCUGUUCUGGCAAUUUUUGGUGUCAUAUAGUACAGUUAUACUGAAACAGUAUCAACCCGAUCUUAACAGCUAACUAUAGCUCCUUUUCAUGAUACAUAUUGAAAUAACACAGAGGUUGCUGCUGGUUACUCUUCUACCUUUACGUUUCAAACACAUAAAUUAGAAGUUACAAGUUUUAAUUUUAUUUAAUAGUGCUGUUGUAGUGUG
Molecule: long non-coding RNA, 845 nt
Organism: Anopheles merus
Lineage: Eukaryota; Metazoa; Arthropoda; Insecta; Diptera; Culicidae
Exons: 2
Source: RefSeq, a predicted model, not a curated record